Molecule: unclassified non-coding RNA, 334 nt
Filed under: soil metagenome
Description: partial contains 5.8S ribosomal RNA, internal transcribed spacer 2, and large subunit ribosomal RNA
Rfam family: 5.8S ribosomal RNA (bases 1-120)
Source: RNAcentral
GAUGAAGAACGUAGCGAAAUGCGAUAAGUAAUGUGAAUUGCAGAAUUCAGUGAAUCAUCGAAUCUUUGAACGCACAUUGCGCCCCCCAGUAUUCUGGCGGGCAUGCCUGUUCGAGCGACAUUUCAACCAUCAAGCCCUGCUUGUGUUGGGGUCCUGCGGCUGCCCGCAGGCCCUGAAAACCAGUGGCGGGCUCGCUAGUCACACCGAGCGCAGUAGCACAUCUCGCUCAGGGCGUGCGGCGGGCUCCAGCCGUUAAAGCACCCACCUUUCGCAAGGUUGACCUCGGAUCAGGUAGGAAUACCCGCUGAACUUAAGCAUAUCAAUAAGCGGAGGA